This 723-nucleotide long non-coding RNA is filed under the name Citrus maxima (pomelo). RNAcentral describes it as "long non-coding RNA (CMAX_LNC000008)". Lineage: Eukaryota; Viridiplantae; Streptophyta; Magnoliopsida; Sapindales; Rutaceae. The record is from RNAcentral.
ACUUGGUGAGUAGGCCAGCGACGGACUGUAUUUGGCAGACUGAGGAUUGUAGCUUGGGGAUGUAGGACUAUAGGUUGGUGAAGUUGGGCUAUAACUUGGUGAAGUUGGACUAUAACCAGGAGAAGUGGGGCUAUAGGCUGGUGAAGUGGGGCUGUACGAUGGAGAAGUAGGGCUGUAUGACGGUGAGGUAGGGCUGUACGAAGGUGAUGUUGGGCUGUAGGAAGGAGAGGUUGGGCUGUACGAUGGUGAGGUGGGGCUGUAUGCAGGUGAGGUGGGGCUAUAUGCAGGUGAGGUGGGGCUAUAUGCCGGUGAGGUGGGGCUAUAGCUUGGUGAAGUUGGACUGUAACUGGGAGAAGUGGGGCUGUAACUUGGAGAGGUCGGGCUGUAGCUUGGGGAUGUUGGGCUGUAACUUGGGGAGGUUGGGCUAUAGCUUGGUGAAGUAGGUGAGUACGAUGGACUGGUAGGAGAAUAGGCAGGACUGGUUGGACUAUAACCAGGAGAACUUGGACUAUAAGUUGGUGAGGUAGGGCUAUAUCCAGGCGAGGUGGGACUGUAUCCAGGCGAAGUUGGGCUGUAUCCAGGUGACGUGGGACUGUAUCCAGGAGAUGACGGACUGUAGCCUGGUGAUGAUGGGCUGUAUCCGGGUGAUGAAGUAGGAGAGAAGGCCAUUCCACCAACAUAAGGAGAAAACUGGGCAUCCGUGACCGGGGACAGACGGAGAUU